Molecule: long non-coding RNA, 315 nt
Filed under: Aquila chrysaetos chrysaetos
Lineage: Eukaryota; Metazoa; Chordata; Aves; Accipitriformes; Accipitridae
Description: lncRNA (ENSACCG00020005103.1)
Source: RNAcentral
GCGCGCGCACACACACACACACACACACACACACACGCACACGCACACGCACGCACAGACACACGCGUGCACACACACACGCGUGCACACACACACACACAAUGCUGCCGCGGCACCUACCAGGCGGGCAGCCUCGGCCCAGAUGAGCAGUGGUAGCCCCAGUGUGGAGAGCUUACCAGGCAGUCACCUUCCAGUGAAACUACCUCCAGGCAGCACUUCCCUCGGCCAUGCUGACCGAAUGUGGAGCCAUUUUUCCCCAAAUCCCUGGUGACAAUUUCUAUGAGAAGAGCAUUGUGUUUGAACCAUGAACAGUUU